Molecule: long non-coding RNA, 373 nt
Organism: Xenopus laevis (African clawed frog)
Lineage: Eukaryota; Metazoa; Chordata; Amphibia; Anura; Pipidae
Exons: 3
Source: RefSeq, a predicted model, not a curated record
GAGAACCAGAUGUGCUUAAACGUCCCUACACCUACUCCACACCGCCAACAUUUAUCCGUGGGAAGAUACUAUGCAGCUUAGCCGUUCUCACCAAGUGAACCGAUAUCUAGUAGAGAAAAGCGUCUGGCAUGGCUAGGCCACCCCUAUCUUUUGCUAAGAACACAGGGCUAUUAAUUGGCCCCGAAGGACACAUUUAUGGGAUUCCCACAAUAUCGCGGGAUUAGGUAAGUCAUUUUCUUUGAAAAAAAUUUCUUUCAUCUUUCGAAUUUCCUCUUUAUUCUCCUCUCUGAGAAAUAAUGAGUUGUUUAAUCUCCAAUUGAACUCUGGUUUACAGGAAUUAAGGAUUGUAAAAGUAGUUGCGACCGGUGAGUGG